UACGGAGGGUGCAAGCGUUAUCCGGAAUUACUGGGUUUAAAGGGUGCGUAGGCGGAUUUGUAAGUCAGGGGUGAAAGCCCGCAGCUUAACUGCGGAACUGCCUUUGAUACUGCAGAGCUUGAAAAAGGUUGAGGUCAGCGGAACGUGACAUGUAGCGGUGAAAUGCAUAGAUAUGUCACAGAACACCAAUUGCGAAGGCAGCUGGCUGGGACUACUUUGACGCUGAGGCACGAAAGCGUGGGGAGCGAACAGG
Molecule: ribosomal RNA, 253 nt
Filed under: uncultured bacterium
Lineage: Bacteria
Description: partial 16S ribosomal RNA
Rfam family: Bacterial small subunit ribosomal RNA
Source: RNAcentral